This 62-nucleotide transfer RNA is filed under the name Ictidomys tridecemlineatus (thirteen-lined ground squirrel). RNAcentral's name for it is "Spermophilus tridecemlineatus (thirteen-lined ground squirrel) tRNA". It matches the Rfam family "tRNA", at positions 6 to 65 of the family's 71-position model. Rfam says of the family: Transfer RNA (tRNA) molecules are approximately 80 nucleotides in length. Their secondary structure includes four short double-helical elements and three loops (D, anti-codon, and T loops). Further hydrogen bonds mediate the characteristic L-shaped molecular structure. tRNAs have two regions of fundamental functional importance: the anti-codon, which is responsible for specific mRNA codon recognition, and the 3' end, to which the tRNAs corresponding amino acid is attached (by aminoacyl-tRNA synthetases). tRNAs cope with the degeneracy of the genetic code in two manners: having more than one tRNA (with a specific anti-codon) for a particular amino acid; and 'wobble' base-pairing, i.e. permitting non-standard base-pairing at the 3rd anti-codon position. Lineage: Eukaryota; Metazoa; Chordata; Mammalia; Rodentia; Sciuridae. The record is from Rfam by way of RNAcentral.
UGUGGCUCAGUUGGUAGAGUGCUUGUCUCACAAGUGUGAGGCCCUGGGUUCUAUUCUCAGCA